GUGGGGAAUCUUGCGCAAUGGGCGAAAGCCUGACGCAGCCAUGCCGCGUGAAUGAUGAAGGUCUUAGGAUUGUAAAAUUCUUUCACCGGGGACGAUAAUGACGGUACCCGGAGAAGAAGCUCCGGCUAACUUCGUGCCAGCAGCCGCGGUAAUACGAAGGGGGCUAGCGUUGCUCGGAAUUACUGGGCGUAAGGGCGCGUAGGCGGACAGCUUAGUCAGAGGUGAAAGCCCAGGGCUCAACCUUGGAAUUGCCUUUGAUACUGGCUGUCUUGAGUUUGGGAGAGGUGAGUGGAACUCCGAGUGUAGAGGUGAAAUUCGUAGAUAUUCGGAAGAACACCAGUGGCGAAGGCGACUCACUGGCCCAAUACUGACGCUGAGGCGCGAAAGCGUGGGGAGCAAACAGGAUUAGAAACCCUUGUAGUCC
Molecule: ribosomal RNA, 424 nt
Filed under: uncultured bacterium
Lineage: Bacteria
Description: partial 16S ribosomal RNA
Rfam family: Bacterial small subunit ribosomal RNA
Source: RNAcentral